UUGAAAUGAGAAUAAAUGAAUAAAUGAAAAUGGGACCGAUACAGAGAUUAGCAUCGCCCUUGCGCAAGGAUGACACACAUAUUCAUGAAGCAUUCCAUGUUAAA
Eptesicus fuscus (big brown bat) is the source of this 104-nucleotide small nuclear RNA. NCBI's taxonomy places the organism in Eukaryota, Metazoa, Chordata, Mammalia, Chiroptera, Vespertilionidae. The record is from RefSeq and is a predicted model, not a curated record.